RNAcentral lists this ribosomal RNA (1141 nucleotides) under uncultured fungus. RNAcentral describes it as "eukaryotic LSU rRNA". The stretch from base 511 to 1141 matches the Rfam family "Eukaryotic large subunit ribosomal RNA", at positions 1 to 649 of the family's 3401-position model. Lineage: Eukaryota; Fungi. The record is from RNAcentral.
AAGUCGUAACAAGGUUUCCGUAGGUGAACCUGCGGAAGGAUCAUUACAGAGUUCAUGCCCUUACGGGUAGAUCUCCCACCCUUGAAUACUAUACCUUUGUUGCUUUGGCGGGCCGCGAUAGCUACUGGCUUCGGCUGGUGAGUGCCCGCCAGAGGACCCUAAACUCUGAAUUAUUAGUGUCGUCUGAGUACUAUAUAAUAGUUAAAACUUUCAACAACGGAUCUCUUGGUUCUGGCAUCGAUGAAGAACGCAGCGAAAUGCGAUAAGUAAUGUGAAUUGCAGAAUUCAGUGAAUCAUCGAAUCUUUGAACGCACAUUGCGCCCCUUGGUAUUCCGGGGGGCAUGCCUGUUCGAGCGUCAUUAUAAACCUUCAAGCUCAGCUUGGUGUUGGGGCCUGCCUCCUAGGCAGCCUCUAAAAUCAGUGGCGGUGCCGUCCGGCUCUCAGCGUAGUUAUCUCCCUCGCUAUAGAGUCCUGGUGGUUGCUUGCCAAUAACCUCCAACUUUCUAAGUUUGACCUCGGAUCAGGUAGGGAUACCCGCUGAACUUAAGCAUAUCAAUAAGCGGAGGAAAAGAAACCAACAGGGAUUGCCUCAGUAACGGCGAGUGAAGCGGCAACAGCUCAAAUUUGAAAUCUGGCUCUCGGGUCCGAGUUGUAAUUUGUAGAAGAUGCUUCAGGUGUGGCUCCGGUCUAAGUUCCUUGGAACAGGACGUCAUAGAGGGUGAGAAUCCCGUAUGUGACUGGUUGCCUUCGCCUAUGUGAAGCUCUUUCGACGAGUCGAGUUGUUUGGGAAUGCAGCUCAAAAUGGGUGGUAAAUUUCAUCUAAAGCUAAAUAUUGGCCAGAGACCGAUAGCGCACAAGUAGAGUGAUCGAAAGAUGGAAAGCACUUUGGAAAGAGAGUUAAACAGUACGUGAAAUUGUUGAAAGGGAAGCGCUUGCAACCAGACUUGCACGCGGUUGAUCAUCCGGUGUUCUCACCGGUGCACUCUGCCGUGUUCAGGCCAGCAUCGGUUUUGGUGGUUGGAUAAAGGCCUUGGGAAUGUAGCUUCUUUCGGGGAGUGUUAUAGCCCUCGGUGCAAUGCAGCCUACCGGGACCGAGGACCGCGCUUCGGCUAGGAUGCUGGCGUAAUGGUUGUAAGCGACC